Non-coding RNA from Triticum aestivum (bread wheat), 135 nucleotides. The record is from Rfam. NCBI's taxonomy places the organism in Eukaryota, Viridiplantae, Streptophyta, Magnoliopsida, Poales, Poaceae.
CAAAUACUCCCUCCGUCCGGAAAUACUUGUCAUCAAAAUGGAUAAAAGGAAAUGUAUCUAGACGUAUUUUAGUUUUAGAUACAUCUCUUUUUAUCCAUUUUGAUGAUAAGUAUUUUCGGACGGAGGGAGUAGAAA